UCUGUGAUGAUCAACCAAUCACCAUCUUUCGGCUGA
RNAcentral lists this small nucleolar RNA (36 nucleotides) under Neolamprologus brichardi. The record is from RNAcentral. Lineage: Eukaryota; Metazoa; Chordata; Actinopteri; Cichliformes; Cichlidae.